This 253-nucleotide ribosomal RNA is filed under the name uncultured bacterium. Its description in RNAcentral is "partial 16S ribosomal RNA". It matches the Rfam family "Bacterial small subunit ribosomal RNA", at positions 524 to 776 of the family's 1533-position model. The record is from RNAcentral.
UACGUAGGGUGCGAGCGUUGCCCGGAUUUAUUGGGCGUAAAGGGCGCGUAGGCGGCCACGCACGUCCGUUGUGAAAUCGCCCGGCUCAACUGGGCGGGGUCAGCGGAUACGGUGUGGCUAGAGCAAGCUAGGGGGCAAUGGAAUUCCCGGUGUAGUGGUGGAAUGCGUAGAUAUCGGGAGGAACACCAGUGGCGAAGGCGACUACCUGGCCCGUUCUUGACGCUGAGGCGCGAAAGCUAGGGGAGCAAACGGG